RNAcentral lists this ribosomal RNA (253 nucleotides) under uncultured bacterium. RNAcentral's name for it is "partial 16S ribosomal RNA". It matches the Rfam family "Bacterial small subunit ribosomal RNA", at positions 524 to 776 of the family's 1533-position model. The record is from RNAcentral.
UACAUGUGGGGCAAGCGUUGUUCGGAAUUACUGGGCAUAAAGGGUGCGUAGGCGGUUUGUUAAGUCACUGGUGAAAGUUUUCGGCCCAACCGGAAAAUGGCCUGUGAUACUGGCGAACUUGAGUGCGUGAGGGGUGGGGGGAACGAGCAGUGUAGCGGUGAAAUGCGUAGAUAUUGCUCGGAAGGCCGGAGCCGAAGGGGCCCCACUGGUACGUAACUGACGCUGAGGCACGAAGGCCAGGGGAGCAAACGGG